Long non-coding RNA from Zonotrichia leucophrys gambelii, 2589 nucleotides. RefSeq lists it as uncharacterized. The transcript is spliced from 4 exons. The record is from RefSeq and is a predicted model, not a curated record. Lineage: Eukaryota; Metazoa; Chordata; Aves; Passeriformes; Passerellidae.
GAGGGCGGGAACUCGAAGCCGCUGUGGCCGCCGCUCUGGGCGAGGCUUCGGGCGGGGGCGAGACCCCCGGGCCGGGAGGCGCCCUCGGGCAGCCCCUGGCGUGAGGCAGAGGAGGAAUGGACGGCCCUCACGCGUCUGCACGGUGUUUCGGGUUGCGGGAGGAAGAGACGAUGCACAGGGUCUGGAGCUUCUCAGGCCCUGAGUGUUUCGUCGUGCGUUGGCAGAAGCCGUGGGACGACGAGGCCAGAGCGGCAGCGUCGUCGAGCUCAAGAGUGGAACGGCGAGGCAAGAGCAAGCUUGGAGCUGAAGAGGGACACGAGGGGCCCUCUGGGCAAAGGGCUUUUCCAGGCCAGGGCACCUUCAGGGUGCCGCGGCUGUCUCUGCGCUGGGCGACCUCCCUGUGCGCAGGGCUGGUCUUUGCUGUGGUUGGGCCUUUUGCCCUUGUGCUCCUUUGGCUGCCCGGAGAGAGGGGCAACCCUGUAAAGGAGGGUGAGAGCCCCUGUCUCCGCACCGCAGGGGGGAAACGGAGCUCUCCCGGCCCCCAGCCCAGCUACCCUGUAAGCAGGGCAGGGCUUUUCCCCAGCCCCGGCAGCUUUCUGCCUGCUGCUGACCCCUGGCCAGCGUGACCCCCUGUACUCGGGGCGUGUCACAGCCCAUGUCCCCGGUGCCAGUCCUGAAGCGCCUUCAGCGCGUCGCGGCCCCUGCGGCCUCCUCUCAGUGCACGGGCAGGUCUGAUGCUUUCCUCUCCCGCUCAGCAUUAGCAAUGGCUCCCUAGAGUAAGCUGGCUGCACAGAACUUGCUCCCUCUUCUGGGACUGUCUCCCCCUCCCCCGUCUCCCCCUCCCCUGUCUUCCCCUCAGCUGUUGUGAGUGAGGAUGUGUGGUUUUGCUUUAGGAACAGUGUAGUGUAGCUUAGACCUCCCAGGAGGGAAAGAGGAGCUCUGUGCAGCCACAGGCGGGUGCCCAAAAUGCACGGGUGGAGAAAGCAUCCGGCCUUGCCCCUGCUUUCUGAGGACGGCGCAAAGCCGCUUAGCGGCAGCGUGGGCAGCAUGACCCGCCUGUAGCCAGGGCCAGGGCGUGCACCUAUGCUGCCGGUGGUGCUGGUGAGCUGCCAGCGUGCGGGCCCUGUACUCGGGGCACGUGUCAGGACUUUGGCGGCACCCUUUGUCCCCAGGAGCAGCCCCACCCAGGUCCCUGUAAGCAGGGCUGGGGAGGCUCCUUUAGCCAGGCAACAGGAACGAGCGCUCCCGGGCCCUUGCCAGGGGGCAGCUUGCAGAAGUGCCGUGCCGCAGGGCACGCUCCCGCCUUUGGCCCUGCUUCGGGCUGGCGCCGUAUGGCUGGCGGCGGCCUCGUAGAGGAGGCUCCCGGGGCUCUGCAGACGGCUGUGUUGCCGUGCUGCGCUGCGGCCGGGCUCCAGCCUGUCCCUGAGUGGGGCGCAGGCCGGAGCCUGUGCUCCGUAUGCUUGCUGGGGGGUGCCGGGCAGCAGGGGGUGGCCCCGUAAGUGGGGUUCUGUGCGUCCCUUGGCCUCGGCGGGCGGUUGGAGGGACCCCCUGUAAUCAGGCGGGUGUCCCUGGCCCCGGUCUUUCAGAGGCGUGGGGCCAGGAGUCAUGGGGCCGGGCGUGUGCCCUCCCUGUCCUCGGGGCUGGGCUGGCGGCCCCUCGGCUUUAGGCCGUGAGCUCGACUGCCUGACUCUAGAGUCAGGUUCCUGUUGCCUUGGGGGAAGGCCGAGCUCCGUGGCUCCCUGGGUGUGGACCGGCCUGUAAGCAGGCUGCGGGUCUGGGAGCCUUUGUGCUCCCUUCAGCUGGCAGCCUGUGUGGGGCGCCCGCCCCGUUAGCGGGGAGCGCCCCGGAACUGGAGAGAAGGAGCCUCCAGAGGCCUUGGGGACCAGAGCCGCCCUGUAAGGUGGUGGCCAGUGCUCUGGGGUCCCGGGCACUUUUUAGUCCGGGCAGCGGCUUGAGCCCCCUGUAAGCAGGCCUGCAGCCUCUUGGCCGCUGCCUUGCGUGCCCAGCUUCAUUUGCCCAGAGGGCCCGGCUCCCAGCACGGCGUGGGACUGCGCCGGACGUCGCGACGAAGCCGUGGGACAGCGAGGCAAGUGCGAGCCGCAGGAGCGGCCUCUUCGGGCUCAAGAGUGGAACGGCGAGGCAAGAGGGAGCUUCAGCAUCGGCGGCUUCGAGCCCGGGAGUGGAGCCGCAAGAAGCCGUGGGACGACGAGGCCAGAGCGGCAGCGUCGUCGAGCUCAAGAGUGGAACGGCGAGGCAAGAGCAAGCUUGGAGCUGAAGAGGGACACGAGGGGCCCUCUGGGCAAAGGGCUUUUCCAGGCCAGGGCACCUUCAGGGUGCCGCGGCUGUCUUUGCGCUGGGCGACCUCCCUGUGCGCAGGGCUGGUCUUUGCUGUGGUUGGGCCUUUUGCCCUUGUGCUCCUUUGGCUGCCCGGAGAGAGGGGCAACCCUGUAAAGGAGGGGGUGCGUGGGUGUUGGCAUGAGGAUGUGGCUGUGGGGCUGGUGGGUGGCGGUUCCCUUCAAGCAGAUGUCUGGACCUUCUUCAAGUUUCGUCGUCUGUUAGAAGAAGUCAUGGUAUAACAAGGUACAUGUG